Molecule: non-coding RNA, 450 nt
Organism: Parasteatoda tepidariorum (common house spider)
Lineage: Eukaryota; Metazoa; Arthropoda; Arachnida; Araneae; Theridiidae
Source: RefSeq, a predicted model, not a curated record
AAAAUAAGUAGUCGAAAGCGUACUGGCUCCGAAACUAAAAAUAAAAGUGCGGCAAAGUAUUGUUGCUUUUUUGCUUUUUAAGAAAAAAGUCCUGCUUAAGAGAAGUUGUUGAUUCCAUUUCUAAUAUCAAAUGGUCACGUCCACCUCCCCCAGCCUAUAGAUCCCUAGAAAGAUUCUAUUGUGUUUCAACAACUUGAUAUAUAAAAGUUGGACCUGUGCCAAUCAUGAGGAUGUUUAGUGUAUCAAUGGAAGGUAUUUUAUGCCACAUUCAUGGAUUUCUUCCUUAUUUUUUUGGGCCAGCACCACCUGAUUUCCAGCUAUCUGACUGUGCUAUGUUUGGGAAAACUCUUAAUCAAGCUGUAGUUGCUGACAUGAAAUUCAAUAAAUAUUGCCAAUACCAUUUUAGCUGUUGUCCAGUUUAUGGUUGACACAAAAGUAGUUGGCUGCAAC